UUUAUUAUAUUUUUUUUUACUUCUUCUUUCUGUUAUUCUUUCAGUUUGAAAAUAUCUUCCAACCGCCAUAGAAAACCUAGUAGCCAUCUUGGAAAUCCUUUAACUAUAGCAACUGACUUGAAGAAGCAGGACGUGUUAAUAUAUAGAGGAUCAGUUAAUGAUUCCUUGAAGCUAUACAACAGGAAAAUCUUUCACCCUUAUCAUUACUAUUGACCAACACUCUUGUUUUCUCCACUGCAGACACCCUACCUUCUCAUAGAGAAUGCAAAUAUUCUUCUAUUUUGAUUCAUUUAAUGGAAUGCGGUUUAUGAUUUAUUUAAUAGUUUUUGUUUCUACAUUUUUUUUUUAAUUUUUUUUUUAUCGUGAACGUUAGCCAAUCUUCUAUUGAUAACAGAAAGUCGGGUUACAACAUGAACAUGAAACACCCUCGCGGGCAAUAAGGAAUCAAGCAAAACUACCUACGACUAAACACUAGGUAAUUUCUAUGCUGCAAACCAAAAACAUGGUCACCUCUAAUAGUAACCGAGAACCAAAGUACCGGAAAAUAAAGCAAAGUAAAAGCAAACUAAAAAAUCCUAGAAAAACCUCAUUUAUUCAGAACUAACUUAUUUGAAGAAGAACCAGAAAAACAGCCUAUUCCAAUAAGGUGACUCCAGAAGAGCAACCUACCGGAUGAACGAGACGAAUGCCGAGCAACCUACCAGAUGAACGAGACGAAUGCCCAAGGAAAGUAACAACAGGAGUUUAGAGCCCAAGAAUGAAGGCCCAAUAUCCAAAUCUUCCCAAGCCCAGCUUCCUGAAGAGAUCCAAGCCCAAAUCCUUAGGGCAGCCACCAAGAACAACCUACCCUCUUCUUUCCUGGCCACCGCCAACCUUGCCCAGCAGCUUCCACUCCCUGCGCCUGCAGAAAUCUCAGUCGGAAAGAACUCGACUUUCUCCACCAAUCCGUCAUGGAGAGCAUGCCAACCACCAAUUGGAGAUUCGCUAAACCUCCAUUGAUUCACCACGAACCAACCCCCCGAGCCAGCGACAAGACCAACGCCGUGCCGAACCCGUCGACCCCCUUUUCGUCAAGGGCCGACAACCAACAUCCCGUCGGCGUUGCCACCCAGGCCUAGCACCUCUGUGCCGCCAUCACUGCUCCCACCUUCACCAACAACGCCGAAGUGGGUAAGGAUGAGGAGAAGGAAAAGACAAUCGAACCACAGUCCGAUUGGUGCACGAAGAAGACGAUGGGAAAGAAACCCACAACCUCCAUCAUCUAAAUAACCAGAGGAAGAGGGAGACCCUAAUCUACCAGCAGAAAACCCAGAGCCGCGCCGACGACAAACCCUAGCAGAAGAGAGCUUUUCAUAAGUUUUUUAAUAUGAGACUGUAUUUUUCUAUUACUUAAUAUCUUGCUAAGUUUUUGUUUCUACAUGUUAAACCAUUGGUUUUUUUUCCUUUUCUUUUUGUAGUGAAAUUGGAUUUUGUUUCUUCAGAUCUUAAAUUCUGAUUUUCUCUUCUUUUCUUUUAAUUUGAUUUGUUAUGAAAUUNNNNNNNNNNNNNNNNNNNNGUAGUAGUAGUAUAUAUAUAUAUAUAUAUAUAUAUAUAUAUAUAUAUAUAUAUAUAUAUACAGGAAUUCUCAGGUGCGGACGUCCGCACCAAAGAUUUCCAUUUUUGCACCACUUCCCGAUCGAAUUUCCUCAAACUUCCUUCUAGACAUAUCUAGAUCAUCUUGUGUAGAUUAUCUAUGUAAAAUUUCAGCCAAUUUGAUGAUCUUUAAGACCUUUAAACUUGCGUUUUUCUGUUAUAUGUCUGAAUCGGACAGAAUUAUGUCAGUCGGUUUUGUAACGCAAGUUUGAGGGCUUUAACGAUCACCAAAUUGGCUGAAAUUUUGCAGAGAUGAUCUACACAAGAUGAUCUAGAUAUGUCUAGAAGGAAGUUUGAGGAAAUUCGAUCGGGAAGUGGUGCAAAAAUAGAAAUCCGGACCAAAAUUUUGGUGCGGACGUCCGCAACUGAGAAUUCCUGUAUAUAUAUAUAUAAUAUAUAUAUAUAUAUAUAAAUAUGAAGACUAUAUUUGAAGCCAUAAAUAAAAUAAAAAUAAAAACGAACAAUCCCACAACACUGUAUAACCACCAUGUUGAAGAUUAAAGUGAUUAUCAAAUCUGAUUUGAAAGAUUGAGUAAAAUUAUUUUUUUCUCCGAUAUAAAGAUGUAGAGAAUUGUUGUUGUUUGAAUUUUAUAGAUUUUAGUGUAAUAUUAUAUUUUACAAAAAUUCUUGAUUGUAGGGUUAGUAUUGGAAUUUUUAGUUUAAAAUUAAAAUGUGGGGUGAAAAAAGUAUUUGAUAGGGUGGCAAUAGCCGCACCCUAAAUAAAUUAUGCAAAACUUAUAAUCACUUAAUAUUAAAUUCAAAUAGAACUCGUUCUAUAAUAACUUCAUUUGCAUGCAUCUCAUUUAAAUAAAAAGGUCCACUCACAGAUUUGGGCCUAAGCCCGGCGACAACCAACACGCCCCUCAAGCAUGGCCUCCUCGUAUCCUAACAUAAUAAAGAUGUUUAAAACACCUAAAUUUCGAAGUCUAAUAACUUUAAGAAUAACACCGGAAAAAUCUUUCGUCUAACCCACUACCCUAACUAGGGUUACGCAUAUUGAAUUCUCAACAAACUCCACCCACAAGUUCAUUCCAUCGAUUCUAGCAUUCUAUAACCAACACAAAGGAAAAUCCAAUGGUUGGAUCCUCCGAUUUAUACACGAACAAAAUCAUACUUUGGAAAUUCCCAAAUCUAACCAAAACUCCUCCAAAAUUCACAAACUUAAUACCAUUAGACUCAUCUCAACAACACCUACCUAAACAACCCAAAAAUCGACCCAAAAGAGGCGGCGCCGCCGGCAGUGGCGGCAAGCCACCCAUAUUUCCGACCGACACCAAUGGCUACCAAAAUUUAACACAACGUUUCUCUCAUCAAUCCAAACAACUUUUUCAACUAGCACGAAGAUCAAUUUUAAGUGUAUGGAGGAGAAAUUACCUCAAGAAGCAAAAUCCUCAAAUCCUAUACCCUAGAACUUGGAUUCGUCAAUUCUCUCUCCUUGUUGUAAAUUGAUGGAAAUCCUUUGUAGGGUAAGUAACACAUUGCAAGACGAACACAGCCCAAUUAGUUUCAUCAUCCGAUUUGGCCGGAGUUGGCCGGAAAAUGAAGAAUUUGCCGAAAAGAGGAACAUACCUUCUUCUCUUCGAUUCGUCUCACAUGGUUAGUAAUAGGUUGCAAGACAUAUCUGGUUGGAAAGGUAGUUCAAAGACGAAGAGAAUGGGCCCGGUUUCAUCGCCGGAGGUGGCCAGAAUAGUCGCCGGCGAGGCUGAGAAGUUUGGGCAGCGUGGCAGCAAAAUUCUGGGUUUAUUUUGGAAAUUUCCCGAAAUGGAAAGUCCCUUUUUGCUAUUUAUAGUAUUUCAGUCUCCACCGAAAUUACAGGUAUGCCCCUGACUUCAAACCCUUAUAACUUUUUCGUACCAACUCCGAUUAAAACGUGCCACAUAUCUACGAACUUGGUUUAACGUCCUCUACGACUUUCAUGAGGGAAGUUUUCUCAAAUUUUAAACGUAGAAAAAAGUCAACUCAUGGGUCCAUUAGAAGCUCAAAAAGAAGAGUAAAAGUAAAAACAAUGCUCAUUUACUGGCUAAAUUACAGUAAACGGUCAAAUAAGAGUCAAAUUAGGUCUGGGGCGUUACAGAGCCUCUAACUUAUGUCCAUUUUGUCGAUCAUGUAUAUAAGGCAAAAUUUUAAGAAUGGUACACCAACUUAACCCCAUUAUGCAUUUAUGUAUACCAAAUUACAAAUUAUAAACUUUGGUACAUGAACAUCUAUUCCCGACUAAAGAACCAUACACACUGUUACUAACAGAGUUAGAAUGGGUGUUAGGUGGCGAUUUUCUAGGGGUAAAUCCGUCUGUACCGUCUGCUCUAUUUUUUGUUCCUUUUUUUUUUUUCCUUUCAAUUUUUGCAGAUAACAAUCGUAUAAAAAACACCAAUCCUAUCAAUUACUGUGAUUUUAGAAGAAAAGAUGAGUACUCCCAGCAAGCUGCUGCAUCUUCAAAUGAAGAUUGCUGCCAAAGAUUCCAACCCAGCCACCAAGGGAAAUUCAUGUACUAAUUGCUGAAAUUCAAACACUCAUGAAACGUUGUAAUAGCAAGUGAAGAACUUAAACAAAAUUGUUUAUUGAAUAUGAAAAUGAGCACACAGAAAAGAGUGUACAGCAAAGAAAGAAAGAAACAAAAUUGAAAGGAAGAGAAAACAGCUUGUAUUGUAUUGAAGGUAAUUUUACAAGAUAAUGAUUGAUGCAGACAACAAUGCAAUACAAUCCUUAUAUAUAUAGGACAACAACAAUUUGAUAAGCACUACAGAAAAUAUCCUCUUUGCCAGCUAUGGAGAGGCACGUGAUCCUUUCUUCUUGGUCACGAAUAAGGACCGUUGUGUAUCUGCUGUGAGGUGAUUGGGAGAUAAAGAAUGACUGCAGUACUCAAAAAUGCUCAAGAUCAUCUGUUCAUCUGUGAGCCACGCGCUGGUAGACCAGGGUCAAACUGUUGACUUUGGUCUAGCUUCAAUACUCUCUGAGGCUACACCUUCUUGUUGAUUUAUGCCUUCAUUACCAUAUUCAUCAAGUUCACUGAGUUCUAUCAGCUUAACAGCCCCCCUCAAGCUAGAGCUAGGGUUACCAAGCACUAGAUUGCAACAUAAAUAUUGAAAAUGUGCAGUGCUUAAGCCCUUAGUAAAAAUAUCAGCAAACUGUUCUAGAGAGGGAACAAAUUGCAGAUUAAGCUCUCCCCUAACAACUUUUUCUCUUGUAAAGUGUAUGUCAACCUCCACAUGCUUACACUUGGAUUUAUGAAUAGGAUUAGAAGCAAGAGAAAGAGCAGAAGCAUUGUCACAGUGGAAGAGAGGAGGAAAUGGUAAACUCAUAUAGAUGUCUGAUAGCAGAUGUCUUAACCAAAAGAUUUCACUUGCUGUGUCUGCCAUGGCCCUAUAUUCAGCCUCUGUAGAUGAGCGUGAGACUGAGUGUUGUUUCUUAGAGCACCAAGAAAUGGGACAGUUUCCAAAAUAGAUUACAAACCCAGUUGUUGACCUUCUAUCAUUGGGGUCACUGGCCCAGUUAGCAUCAGAAAAGGCUUUUAGCUCUACUGGAUUGGGAGCUGGUUUAUAUGUCAGGCCAAAAUUCACAGUGCCAAUCAAGUAUCUGAGUAUUCUCUUAACUGCUGCAUAGUGUGAUUCAGUAGGUGCUUGCAUAAACUGACACACAGUGUUAACACUGUAAGCAAUGUCAGGUCUUGAAAAAGUAAGAUAUUGCAGACAUCCCACAAUACUCUUGUAAUGAGUAACAUCUUUAAACAGAGGUCCCUCAUCUCUAAGUAACUUGGCAAAAGGAAGGCAUGGAGUGCUACAACUCUUCUUUCCAGUCAUACCUGCUUUAAUAAGCACCUCAGAGGCAUAUUUGGAUUGAGAAAUGAAAAUGCCUCCUGAUGGUAAGUAUUCAAUCUGCAAUCCCAAAAAAUAGUGUAACAAGCCCAAAUCCUUCAUUUCAAAUUCCAAUUGCAGUGCAAGCUUUAUAACACCAAUUUCAGUCUCUUCAUUCCCAGUUAAUAUGAUAUCAUCAACAUAUAACAGUAGGUAAACCAUGGUGGAUGCAGAUGCUUUAACAAAAAGUGAGGGGUCAGAAUGUGAACAUCUGAAACCCAAGGAUGGAAGGAAGGAGGAGAACCUUUCAUUCCAAGCUCUAGGAGCUUGCUUUAGUCCAUAAAGAGAUUUUACCAGUUUGCAAACAUAGUGAGGAUGAUGAGGGUCUUCAAAACCUUGUGGUUGAGACAUGUAAACUUCUUCCUUUAACACUCCAUGUAGGAAGGCAUUUUUUACAUCCAUCUGAUGAAGUUUCCAGUUAAAUUGUGCUGCAAGAGCAAGGAACAGUCUAACUGUGGUGUGUCUAACAACUGGACUAAAGGUUUCAUCAUAAUCAACACCUUCUUCUUGGCUAAAUCCCAUGUUUGCUUCUAGUUAUCAUUGGAUGAUCCUUGGCAUUCAAAUUAGACAAAGGAAUGAAUGAGGAAAAUUCUCUCAAAAGAUGUUGAUGAUGGUGGUUGAAUGUCCAUAUGGAUGUCUGAAAUUGGAACAUAAGGCUCAUCUGUGUAGGAGACAGGAUUUUCAGCACCUCUGAUGGAAUCAGACUAAGAGGGAUAUGUAUCAAUAUGAUCAAUAAUCAAUGGAUCUUCAGGACCAGCAGUAUUUAGCAACUCAUCUGAAAUUACACAAUUAUCUGAAACAAGAGAGGUACCAGACUGUUCAUGAUCAGAUUGGUGAUCUUCUGGAAACACAGGUUGUUGAAAAGUGAUAGGAGCAGGUGAGAUCUGAUCUUGGACAAGGAGAGGCCUUGAUGAAGGUGUGUGUGAUUCAUGUUGCACUGCAGAUGGAAGAGAGCAAGGGGCUGAAAAGAACUGAGUCACCUGUUCAACAUUAUCAGAAGAAGAAAUAGAAUUUUUCUGAUAGUAAAAAUUAUUGUCAUCAAAAAUGACAUUCCUGGAAAUAAUGGUUUUCUUAGACUCAGGAUUAUAACAAAUAAACCCUUUGUAACCUAAGGCAUAGCCAAGAAACACACAGGGAGCAGUUUUGGGUUGCAGCUUAUUUGAGUUAUAUGGUUUCAGCAGUGGGUAGCAAGUAGCCCCAAAAACUCUAAUAUGAUCAAUGGCAGAAAUUUUUUGGAAAAGAGCCUCAAAAGGUGAUUUCAUGGACAGAUUUGAGCUAGGCAUCCUAUUAAUCAGAUAAACAGCAGCAGCACAGGCAUGGUACCAAAAAAUUACAGGAAGAUGGGCACAGUGCAAUAAAGUAACAGCAGUUUCAACAAUAUGCCUAUUUUUUCUUUCAGCUAGCCCAUUCUGUUGUGGAGUAUAGGGACAUGAAAGCUGAUGAGCAAUGCCAUUUUUAUUCAAAAAAGCUUUAAACAAAUUGCUUGUGAACUCCCCACCCCCAUCUGAUUGAAAGAUUUUAACAGAAGCUGAAUAUUGAUUCAAAAUAAAGGCACAGAAUGUCUAAAACAAAGGUAAAACCUCCUUUUUAUUUCUCAAUGGAAAAAUCCAUGUGUAUCUAGUACAUUCAUCAAUAAUAGUGAAAUAAUAUUUGUAACCCUCAAUUGAUACAGUGGGGGAAGGACCCCAAAGAUCUGAGUGAACAACCUCAAAAGGCUUAGUUGACUUAGUACUAGACACAGGGAAGGGCAACCUUGAAGAUUUUCCAGCUAAACAUGACUCACAAAGAGACUGACAUUGAUCAGAAGAAAGAACAAUGUUGGACUUAGACAAAAUGCUAGACACUAUUGUAUUGGACGGAUGACCUAGCCUCCUGUGCCACAGUGAGUGAGACACUUUAUUUCCAAGAAAGGUUGAGUGUUUACUGACUGUUGUAGGAAGGAACUGAUGUGCAACUUUGACUGGAACAGGAUAGAGCCCCUUUUCACACACACCAUCAUAUAAGACUUUGCCUGUUUCCUUGUCCUGUAUAAGAAAUUCAAAUGCAUCAAAGAUCAAUCUCACACAGUUAUCUUUACAAAUGUUGUAAACAGAUAACAAAUUAGCAGCCAAAUCAGGAACAAAUAAUAUAUUUUUCAGAGAGAGAUUGGUUUUUCCAACUGAGAGGGUAUUUGAACCCUUUUUUGUAAUAGGAAGGCUGUCACCAUUACCAAUUUGCACCGAGUCUGUGGUAUUGUAGGUGGUGAUGUUCUGCAAAUGAUUGAUGUCAGAUGUCAUGUGGUUGGUGGCUCCAGAGUCCAUUAGCCAUACUCCCUCACUAGAAUUAAGGUCACAGGCAAGCAUAGCUGAGUUCCUAGAUUGCUGCUGAUUGAGAUUAGCAUUCCUCCAUCUGCAUGUUUUGGCAAUAUGGCCAGGCUUUUUGCAGAUUUGACAUUCUACUGAUGAGCUAGUAGCUUCUCCAGACUGGUGAGAGUUCCUCUGACUGCACUUGUAGGUUGUAUGACUAUGUUUGUCACAAAUUUGACAAACAACAUUCUUAUAAUAAUUAUUGCCCUUGGAGUUGUUUCCAUUGUUGUGGUUAGUGUUACUUCUACAAUCAGACGAAGGAAACUGUGGAAAUGAGUCACCAUCUUGAGGGCUAAAGUGUCCAAUAAAGGCUGUAUUCUGAGAGUAAGGUGAGAACUGUUGAUUUUCAGAGAAUCCCUGAUUUCCAACUGAGGCCUGCUGAGAAUAAGGUGUGAGCUGGUUUUGAGAAAAACCAUGAUUCAUAGCUGGGGUCUGCUGAACUACAUGCUGAUUAGGAGGUGAAUAAAAUCCCACAGAAGAUUGUGAGCUAUUCAUCAUAUAAGGAGAGGCAUUGACUUGUGAGAAAGGCAUGAUCAUGUUGCUUGGAGCAGUGGAGGUAGUCAUAGCAUUAGGACUGGAUGUAUACAUGUGAGGCAUGGUAGAGACCUGCUGAGUACUGACUAAUGGGUUAAUAAAACCUGUAGAAGCAUGUAUGUGAUUCACUGAUGGAGUACUAAUAGCAGGAUUGGAAAAACUAUGAGAGCCAUACUGAGGUCCAUACCCCACAAAAGUCAUAGUAGAAUUUGGAGCACCAACAUUAUUGUAUCCAUUAACAGUUCCAGGAGCAACAUUAGUAUAGCUAUUAGGAGUGCAAUAAUUAGAUGAUGCAACACAAUUAUCAGGCCAAGGAGAUGCAGCAUUUGAGGCAUUAAAGUUUGAGGGUGCUGCACAGUUUGCAGCCCAUGGAAUAGCAGUGUUGAAGAUGGUAUUACCAAAACUUGGAACACUAGGCAUUGAGGCAUUCUGAUUUUGUGCAACCAUAGCAGAAAAUUGUGACAAAGGUAAAGCUUUUUAUUCAAGUUCAAUCUCACUUUCUGCAGACAACAAUAAUGAUCUGACCUCACCAAGAUCAAUAUUAGGCUUUCCCCUAAUAAUCUGUCUAGUAUGACCAUACUCAAUAGGUAAACCAAUAAGGAUUAAAACUUUAACAUCUUGAUCAGACAUCAUAACUCCAAGCACUGCUAAUUUAUCUCUAACACUCUUGAAUUUAACAUAUAUCUUUCAAUAGAGUCACCUCCUUUUUUGAAUAGCUUGUAACUCAGUCUUAAGCUGCAUAACAUGUGCCUCAGAGACAGAAGCAUACCUUUGCUUGAGCCUGUACCAUACCUCCCUGGAAGAGGUGCAUUCUACAAUCAGUGCAAGAGGCUCAGAUGAGAGAGAGUUGGAAAGGGUGCCAAUGAGAGCACUGUCCUGCUCUUCCCAUUUUUCGAACGCAGCUGUGUUGUCCACCUCAGUCCCAUCAGGGUUGAUAGAGCAAGGUGGUGGACAAGGAAGGGUUCCAUCAACAAUUUUCAGCAAGCUAGCCAUGACUCUUUAGAUGAUAAUGCAUCUGAUAGAGCCACGUAGGAUAGUUGUUCUCCUCAAGGAGCACCGAAAUAACAUUGCAGUUGUUAUUCGAGCGUGCCAUUGAACCAACACUGUGAGGAAAGAGAGAUUUAUCAAACUAAAAACAAGAAAAGACUAGAUCUAAUAGAAUUUAUACCAGAUCUGACUAAUGAGAAAUGAGUAGGUGAACAAAUGAAGUUUAUAGUCUCAGUAGGUGAAGAAAUGAGAUUUUUUGUUGUUGUUGAUAGUGACAAGACAGUGGAAGACAGUGUGAUAAGGCAAUGGUCAGGCCAUAGGCUCUGAUACCAUGCUGAAAUUCAAACACUCAUGAAACGUUGUAAUAGCAAGUGAAGAACUUAAACAGAAUUGUUUACUGAAUAUGAAAAUGAGCACACAGAAAAGAGUAUACAACAAAGAAAGAAAGAAAGAAAGAAAAUUGAAAGGAAGAGAAAACAGCUUGUAUUGUAUUGAAGGUAAUUUUACAAGAUGAUGAUUGAUGCAGACAACAGUGCAAUACAAUCCUUAUAUAUAUAGGACAACAACAAUUGGAUAAGCACUACAGAAAAUAUCCUCUUUGCCAGCUAUGGAGAGGCACGUGAUCCUUUCUUCUUGGUCACGUAUAAGGACCGUUGUGUAUCUGUUGUGAGGUGAUUGGGAGAUAAAGAAUGUCUGCAUUACUCAGAAAUGCUCAAGAUCAUCUGUUCAUCUGUGAGCCACGUGCUGGUUGACCAGGGUCAAAAUGUUGACUUUGGUCUAGCUUCAAUACUCUCUGAGGCUACACCUUCUUGUUGAUUUAUGCCUUCAUUACCAUAUUCAUCAAGUUCACUGAGUUCUAUCAGCUUAACACUAAUGAUUGUCGUCCUACCGGUAAAUGAAGGAAACAUAUUCAUCGAUCAUUUGAUCAAUCUCUUUUAGACGAACUUUCAUAUGUAAACCAUUUGUAUUAUGAGAAUAAUAACAUACGUAUGUAAGAUCCAUUUGUACUAUGAGAUCGAAUACGUAAUAAAUUAAGGGUUUGUCGAUUCCAACAUGACACAAUUUACAAGUAUCGAGAUCGGCUCCACUGAAUUGUCUAAACAGAAUGGCUUUCUUUUCAGAUGAGAUUUGUACAAAAUAAUUUGAGAGACGGGAGAAAAUAUUAGUGCUAGCGUAGUCUCUUACAUAUAUACAGCUCAAAAACAACUAAGAAAGUUGUAUUAUACAGACUUACACAGCAUCGAUCCGUAGAAGAAAUGGGUAAGAGCACAUGUGAAAGUUCCAUCUAGUUGUAUUCAUAUAGAUAGCAGAAUGCAUGAUGGAUCUUGAUAUGCACAGCAGCUCCUGCAGAAGUGCAAAAUCCCCUAUUUUAUUAGAUUAGAAAAUUUAGUAGCAGUAGUUAACCAAAGUUAACUUAUGCAGUUCAGCUCCAAGUACAAUAAUUUAUGAAGUAUCAGCAAGAAUGUAUGUAAAAUUUACCCACCAAAACCACACGUAUAUAUGCAAUCUCAUGCUCUAUCCACAGAAUCUUUCUUUGCAGAUGAAUUAGCUACAGUUCGCUCUUUCAUGGCUUCCUUUUCAAGCUUCUUCUUUUCAAUAUCAGCCAGUCUUUCAUUUUCCUCUCGCGCUUGGUAAACAUCUUGACAAAGAUGAACAACACCUGUGUCACUGCAUUGCGAACAAAAGUCAAAGAUCAAAGUUUAAAAUAUCACACGAUGUAAGAAAAUCAUAAAAGAGACUUCAAAGUACAUUUACAUUAUCUCUCCAAAAUUAGAACUCAAGCAAAUGCAUUGCAUCACUGACUGACAUACACUGAGCAUAUCCCUGUUAAACAGACUUUUGGAUUUCAAUCAUAAAGCCCUAUAUGGGGCAAUAUGGAUGAAAAGAAAUAGAUGGACUCUCUGAAGACUGCAAUACAGCAGGGGUGGAGUACCUUUAAACUAUUAGCUUAUUUGAUUCGGCACUCUAUUUAUGUUGUAUUAGGUUCUUUACCAAAUAUCUUGAUAGUACUCCAGACAAUAAAAAGUUCAUAUGAUGAAUUGGUCCAUGGUGACCCUAGGUGACCUAGUCAAAAGAGUGGACUAAUCAGAAUGGGCAUAAGCUAAAGAAGAUACGGCAUCUAUGUGUCUGGUGUGGUAUAUUCAUGAGCUGAAAGAUCAACGCAAACCUUGUUCAAAAGGACACCGAGAUGGAUCCUCCCCAAAGUAUUGAGACAAAGAAUCUGCGUUUCUUCCCUGCCAGAAAACAGUUGGGUGUUAGGACAGUAGACCAGCAAUAAGCUGCACAGCACCAAAAGAUAUUUUGAUGAAAAGAGAAACUCUGGGAUUGUGAACUGCACUCACCACUUCAGAGUACAAGGAGAUUAGUGACCUAACUUCAGCUUCAGCAGUAUCAAGGAAAUUUUUCAGCACCUGCAAAAAAUUAAGCACAAGAGAAGGAUUUAUAGCAAGAAACAACACAAAUUUGUGUGUGCUAAGGUGCGCGUUUUUUUUUGAAAACUCAAAUUAGGUCAUCUUUCAGGUAUCAAUAAUAGGUCCCUAAAACAAUGUAAGUUGAUCUAGGAUUAGUGAGAUAGUAUUCAAGGAAACUUCCUUCCCUAUCUAAAAUUAAAAUCAAUCUCAAAACUUCACCACCUAAAACGCUAAAGCUACUUAAAAAGAUAAUUGUCUUCUUCCUUAAUUUCAUCUAAAAACUUUACCUCUCCCAGUUCAAUAAUAGGUCAGGAGAAUAAUGAAUGCAUUAUAAGGGACCUUGUGUUUGUUGAAGAAAAAGCCAUUUUUUUUAUAUGAAAUUUCUUACCAAUUUAAAGCCAGCAGAACUGAACUAGCAUACUUUAAUGGAAAAUAUCAGUAUGUUUUUGAAGUUUGAUCACAAGCAAGUUAUUUUGAUUGAUGCAAAAAUAAUGGACUGCAGCAUAAAGCGGUUAUAAUAAGCAUUAAAUUUAUUGGGUCAGCUAUGUACUGUUACUAAGUUAUGAUAACAUGACUAUGAGCCAAUUCUACCAAUAAAAUUCACCUUAGAGGCAGCUUCCAAAUGGAUAAGAUCCCUAUCAAAAUCCAGCAGCUCGGGCAUUUUCUCAGCAAUGAGCUAAUGACAAAAGAAACAAAUAUAUUAAUGUACAAGAAGUUACUGAUAAAGCAAGAAGUCUGUGCAUAGGAGAUAUUAGCAUCAAGAUUCAAAGAUAGCAAUGGAUGGGAAAAUUCUACAAAAGUUUGGAUUUUUAAUUCAAUUACUGAUUUAAGGACCCAAUGCAUGAAUUAUCCAGUCAGAACGCUAAUCUAUCCAAACAAUACAGAACAACUUUAAACCCUCUCAGUGGGUGCUUUAUAUGAAUUAUAUCAUUCGGUGAGAAGAAUCAAACGAAACACAUAGUAAAUAGACCCCAACAAACCAAAUCCUGGUUGAUAUUAACAUCCUUACCUUACACAAAUAGUGCAUUAAAGUCAUUUUGUUGUUUCUUGCAUGAGUAUCAGACAAUUUAAGAAGGCUGUCCAAUUUGAAUCCUAUGGCUGACCCUGAAACAUCAAAAGAAAAAUAUAACCUAGGAAAAACUCAGUGAUAAAGAUAAUUAAACAACAAACACCAACACUAAACGGCACCAUACCUCGAGCAGUGCCUUGAUUUAAGGCAUUUCCCAAAGUAAGAAUUGUCUGCAUUACCUGUCGCAACUUCGCAGAUUCUUUAACCUGUAUGUAUGUCGCAUGUAAGAUGGAGGAGAAAAAUAUGCUCUUAGAGUCUUAGGUACUAGUUCAAUAACCAUCCACUCUCAUGGUACCUCUUUAGUAGCACUAUUGAUGGUAAUCAAAUUUGAUCUUAAGUCUUUCACCUGAUUGGAAUCAAGCAUUAAAUGUUGUUAAUUUAUAUAGAAAAAAAAAACCAUACAUAGAAAAAUAAAGAAAAAAUAAAACCUAGAACAUACCUGACUAGAAAAGGUAAUUUUGAAAGCAAAUACUCGCAACUUGGGUUCUACUCGUGGAACCUUCAUCAACACUAAGAAAAACUGAAGUAAUUACAAGCAGACUGUUAGUUCAGAAAAUCAAAAGACAUGAAUUUCAGCUUAUGGGACUAGAAAGAACCUGUUCACACUUUCCCAGCAUUUCCUUCUCACCCGUAUAGUUCUGGAGAACAAAACACAAUCAGCUAUAAUAAAGAUGGUCUUAACAACCUAUAAAACUAAAAAGCAUCUCCAGAGUUGUUCUCAGUGGUUGUUGACUCUGCCUAGCACCUCUGUGCCGCCAUCACUGCUCCCACCUUCACCAACAACGCCGAAGUGGGUAAGGAUGAGGAGAAGAAAAAGACAAUCGAACCACAGUCCGAUUGGUGCACGAAGAAGACGACGGGAAAGAAACCCACAACCUCCAUCAUCUAAAUAACCAGAGGAAGAGGGAGACCCUAAUCUACCAGCAGAAAACCCAGAGCCGCCGCCGACGGCAAACCCUAGCAGAAGAGAGCUUUUCAUAAGUUUUUUAAUAUGAGACUGUAUUUUUCUAUUACUUAAUAUCUUGCUAAGUUUUUGUUUCUACAUGUUAAACCAUGGUUUUUUUUCUUUUCUUUUUGUAGUGAAAUUGGAUUUUGUUUCUUCAGAUCUUAAAUUCUGAUUUUCUCUUCUUUUCUUUUAAUUUGAUUUGUUAUGAAAUUAAGACUUGCCACAUCAAUUAAUAAUAUGUUUACAUCAUAUUUACAAUUGAUCUAGGCCAUUGAAGAUUUUAAAAUCUAAUGACUAGUAAUUGUUGUCCAAAUUUGGGUCAAAUUUUAUGUCCCUUAGAUGACUCGACCCUAUAUCUGUAGAAUAACUGUAAAUAUUUACUUUCCUUGUUUGUAUAGGUGUAGAAUAUUUUCCUAGUAGUAUUAUGACUGUACCUCUAUAUAAACUCCCUAGUUAACGAUGAAUAAUAAAUUGAAGCAUACCAAACCAUAUAUUGAAUCCUUAUUUUCUACUAUAUACCAACAUUGACCGGCCAUCUAUCAGCAAUUUGAUUAGUUCCAUCCCCAAACCCAAAUACAGUACAUGAUCACCGUUUCAAAUUAGGUUGCCCAAAGUCCGUCGUACGUGAUCGAUUCCAUCAUCACCAAAACAGUUAACCAUGACUGCCGGCAUUCAUAUUGGUUGCCGGCAUUCACCAAAAAAGACUACUCGACUUGGUGAUCUCCCGGACUUGAUAUUGGUUGAAAUCCUUGCUGGACUUGCUUGCAAAUCAACACUAUUUCGAGCCAAGUGCGUCUCCAAGCGUUGGUUGAGUCUCCUCUCUGACCCUUAUUUUGUUAGGACCUUUCUGAGUGUCCAAGGUGUUGACGAAGGAAACGCCUUUCUAGGUGCAGGUAUUCUUUUUGUUUUGCCCUACCCUAACAACGAGAGCCUAUUCGGCGCACCCGUCAUCUCCACCGUUAAUUUUUUUUUUUUUUUUUUUGGUUGGGUCAAAAUGGACGGUGGAUACACCCGGGUGCGCUGUAUAAUUUUCACCCUAACAACAACAACAACAACAACCUCCAACCCGAACUUAAAGUCGUUGCGCAUCCGGUGGUGAAAACCAGGGAAAGCCAAUAUUUCUCUCUGGAUUUCCUGCCAUGUAUUCAACAAGAGAAAGAACGACAUGUUCAUCUAGAAUUGGUGGCAACAUAUAAUGAUUUGGUUUUGUGCUGCAAAACCUACACAAUUUACGACGACGAGGAUAUGGAGUCUUACUUGAUCCACAAUCCCUACUACAUCUGUAAUCCAUACACCAAGAAGUGGCUUGCACUCCCUCCCGGCAACCAUCUUCGAGUCCCUUCCAGCUGCACAACAUAUGUGGGAUUCAUCUGCGAGCCCUACUUUAAGCAGCAGCAUUCAGAACAAGCUAGUUCAAAGAUCACUCUUAAUGCGGAGUAUAGAUGGAGCGUUGUGCAAAUGUUGAUUCCUCUUGAGCCAUCCAUGCAUCAAUUACGAAUGGACAUCUUCUCCUCCGAGACUGGACAGUGGAGGCCAUUGGUUNNNNNNNNNNNNNNNNNNNNAGUGAAAUUGGAUUUUGUUUCUUCAGAUCUUAAAUUCUGAUUUUCUCUUCUUUUCUUUUAAUUUGAUUUGUUAUGAAAUUAAGACUUGCCACAUCAAUUAAUAAUAUGUUGAUAUCAUAUUUACAAUUGAUCUAGGCCAUUGAAGAUUUUAAAAUCUAAUGACUCGUAAUUGUUGUCCAAAUUUGGGUCAAAUUUUAUGUCCCUUAGACAACUCGACCCUAUAUCUGUAGAAUAACUGUAAAUAUUUACUUUCCUUGUUUGUAUAGGUGUAGAAU
Molecule: long non-coding RNA, 15612 nt
Filed under: Fragaria vesca (wild strawberry)
Lineage: Eukaryota; Viridiplantae; Streptophyta; Magnoliopsida; Rosales; Rosaceae
Description: long non-coding RNA (FVES_LNC002583)
Source: RNAcentral